GGUACUGUUACCAAAGUAACUUUGUUUUGGUAAUUAAGCAUGACUUCAUCUAAUUCUUUAUUGGCUUUGCAAUUUCCGCCUCUGAGAGCCAUUUUAACUUGCUGUGAAAUGUCUGCUCAUUUUCUCAAUGUACAACAAUGGGUUGGUUCAGGAUUCGUUUGAUGAUUGGAGGAAGUCCUUUGUGACUCCCACUCAACCUCAGUGACC
This 207-nucleotide long non-coding RNA is filed under the name Elaeis guineensis (African oil palm). RNAcentral's name for it is "long non-coding RNA (EGUI_LNC007557)". The record is from RNAcentral. Lineage: Eukaryota; Viridiplantae; Streptophyta; Magnoliopsida; Arecales; Arecaceae.